This 3185-nucleotide long non-coding RNA is filed under the name Homo sapiens (human). RNAcentral describes it as "HSALNT0062735". Lineage: Eukaryota; Metazoa; Chordata; Mammalia; Primates; Hominidae. The record is from RNAcentral.
GUGGGUCUUGAGAGACUGAAGUCUUUGAUGAUUGGCUCAGGGAUGGAUACAUAAACCAACCAGAGCCAAUGGGAUGUGAGGCAUGAAGCUUCUGCAGUCCUCUUGCCUAUUUCAGGACAGCUUGAGAAUAGAACAAACCUGCAGCUCACAGAAUUCACAGUUUGAUCCCCAGAUAAACCCAUAUGGGUCCACUGUCCAGGACGAAGCAUGAAGCAGCUGCCUAAAAGGACACAGAACAUUUCCUUGGAAUCAGUUUGCAUUCCCUAGGAAUUAAAGUCUUGAGGAUGUGUGAAACAGGGACCCAAAGACAUCUUGCCUGCUGGGAAGCAUGCCCAUUCCAGAGUGAAUGUUGGAAGGUAAAGUCAGCCCCUUUCAAGCACACACAGGUGCCCCUACCCCUUCAGGUGCCCUCCUUCUCCUGCCAGAAGAACAAAACCUCUCUGAGGAAUCCAUUCCAAGGGAGUUUUCACAGAAUGGAAGUUUUCUGAGGAGGACCCAACUUCAUCUAAAAGAAGAAAUAGUACAAGUUCUGAUGCGGUUCCUGUGCCAGUGUGAAUAUAUGAAACAAGAAGCCUAUCCCAGCACAUCUUCAACUAUAUUCCCUGGCACCUAAUGACUGCCUACCACAUGAACCAUCCCUGCCUCUAGAAAGGUCCUUAUUUCCCUUCCUUUCUUUCUACUCAUAUCUCAUGUUCUCAUUUCUUCCUAAUUUGGUCUCCCUAGAAAUAGACUUUUUUUGCUUUUGCACUCCAUUUUCCUUUGGUACAUUUCUCCAAGAGCAAGUUGUUUCUAGAACAACCUUUGGUCUGAGACCCAGGACUUUUUGAGAGCUAAAGGAGGGAAGAGAGUGAUGAAGAAAGGGAAAAUCGGGCUUUUCAGCAAAUCAUUCUUUACUAUCGGGCUACUAGGCUGCAGAGUAGAAGGACAUUCAGGCAAAGAGUUCACUCAGAAGUAUUUUCUGAAAGUUGAAUAUACUCUCCUUAGUCACUUCAUAAUAUCUUGUAAAAAGACGGUGGUGAAGCAAAUGCUGUAUCAGCUUUAGCCACUCUGGGUUUCACCAUUUUCCAACAAGCUGCCAUUCAGUUGUCCAUUAUCCAUUUUUAGCAAAAGGGCAGUGAACUUAUUUAAUUGCAGAAUAAAAAGUGCCUAAUUUUAUACAACCCUUUAAUCUGACUCUUCAAGUAGGAUACAGACCAGCCUCCAACAUUUAAUGUUUCCUGAAUCAAAUCUACUCUGGGGCUCACCCACCCUGAAAACAACCACCCAAGUACUAAACACCCUUCAAAUGACAUCUUGUCUAGCUGUCAGAACAGAAAAACUCAAAGCAGGCCUGAUGGUGACAGACUGUAGCAUCCCUGCCAGCGUCUGGAAACCUGGAUGCCGUCAAGUGGCAGAGCUGCGAGGCUCAAAACCAGCUCAGGGGCGAAAAACGCUGUUGGAAACCACCCAUCUCUGCCGAUGCCUAUCAAGCUGGCAAAAGAAUCAAGCUGAGAAUAAUUUUUUUCUUUUUGGCUAGCAUAUUGAAAUCUGUAAACCUCUUUCUGCAGAACAGAAGCUGUUGAGGUUUUAUUUUUUUCUGACUUGAGCCAGAGCACAUGGGAAGAGCUUGAAACCUAACUUUGCCAAGUAUCAGGGUGGGGUGAGGAGAAUUUAUCUUCACAGUGAUGUUAUUAGAAAGAAACAAAAUGGCCUGUAGGGUGACCAACUGUCCCAGUUUGCCCAGAACUGAGGAAUUCCUAGGAUGCCAGACUUUCAGUGCAAAACUGGGAUAAUUCUGGGCAAAUCAGGAUGGGUAUUUAUCCUAAGAGUGGAUUGAAGUGGCCUAAAUUACAGUGCUAAGGAGUUUAGGCCUCAUACAAAAGGGUUUCCAGGCAAGCAAAAUUUUAAGGGACCAUCUUCACCCAGGAUGAAAACCCCUGAAGCAGAUUACCCAUUCAUUUAUAUACAAAUUCUAGUGGCAGGAAAUGUUGAAUUGUUAAAAGUAGAAAUAGAAAUUCCAGCUGCCAAGUUGGCUUUCAGGCCAACUUGAAUUGACCCUUGGGAAUGUACCUACUCCUUGCUCCCAACUAUAUAGCUGCUCUCUCUGAGAGCUCUGCCCUGCCCCCAUCCCCAAUCUAAUCUCUUCACACUGCCUAUUUUGCAAGAGCAGCUCUCAGAAAGACCUGACAAGGGCUUUUCCCAUCGGAUGGCCAGUAAGCAUCUUACCAGAAGUUAAUAGCUAAUAACCUGUUUACAGAACCAACAAAGUUCAGACGUAGAAAGCACCCGAAAGAUCAUCUAGCCCGAGUUUGUCAAAGCCUGGCAUCAGGCUGACUGUGUACAAAUCACCAGAGGAUGGUUAUCAGUCAGUCUAAGCUAGGUUAGGCUGCGCUAACAAGCUCCACACCUCAGCGACAUGUAACAAGCCCUCAGGCUUCUUUUUCAUUGCAGGUAGGCAGGGUGCUCUGCUUAUGGUGGUCACUUGGAGAUCCCAAAGUGGUUGCUUGCAAAGCCAGAGGGAAAAACAACCUGGGACAGUCUCAGUCUGGCAAUUCCAUGCUCCAGUCAGGAAGAGACACUUGCCCCUUCUACUUCCCACUCAGUGGCCAGAACUGUUCCCAUGGCCCCACCUCACCACAAGGGGGCCACAAAAUGCAACUCUACUUGGUUCCCAGAAGCUAGUGGGACAAAAAAUAGUCGGUAAAUGGCACCAACCAGUAUCACAAAAAGACUAGAAAAUGCAGGUUCUGUUUGGUUGGUUGGUUGGUUUUUUUGUUUGUUUUUUGUUUUCGUUUGUUUGUUUUGAGACGGAGUUUCUCUCUUGUUGCCCAGGCUGGAGUGCAAUGGUGUGAUCUUGGCUCACUGCAACCUCCACCUCCUGGGUUCAAGAGAUUCUCCUACCUCAGCCUCCUGAGUAGCUGGGAUUACAGGCAUGCACCACCAUGCCCAGCUAAUUUUGUAUUUUUAGUAGAGAUGCGUUUCUCCAUGUUGGUCAGGCUGGUCCCAAACUCCCGACCUCAGGUGAUACACCCGCCUCAGCCUCCCAAAGCGCUGGGAUUACAGGUGUGAGCCACUCACCCAGCCUGAAAAUGCAGGUUCUGGAUCUCACUUCUGGAGAUUAUGAUUCAGUAGAUCUGGAUGGGACCUGGAAAUGAAUAUAGCUUUUAAAUUUCCCCAAGAUUUUGGAAUGGGCAGUGUGUUGGGGA